GGGUUACCGUUUGUACAGCGGCCGUAAGCUGUGUUGUGGGCCCUGGGCAUGCCGGCCUAGUGGCAGGCCCGCUUCGAGGAAUUGACAGUUUAUCGAUGGAAAAGACGCCAACCGCACUCGUAGUGACAAUUUUUACGGUGACAGAUUCGGUCGCGACAGGAAAAUCUACCAUCCGGGACCGUGGCAGAACGUGAGACAAAAAAAAAAGAACAAGCCGCAACUUGAGCGAUUUUAAAUGACGGUGUAGCGAGUUAAACUGUUUCGUCUCCAAAUUCUGGUGUAUAAUUCUAAUCGUGUAUAGUGUGGGCUUAGCUUAUCCACGUUACCGAAACGGUAUCACAUUGCGGGCAGGAGUUUAGCAAAAUCCGAACUCGAAGUUUAGUUUUCAGAAAUCAAUGCAAAAUGGUAUCCGGGUUUUUGGGUAGCGUGGAAAGCCGAUGGCAUAUAGUAUACUGCAGUGUUUCCGCAAGUGGCGUCAAUGAUGAGCAGUUUUAAAAAUCUGAAGACAGGAAGCGAUUCAUGGCACACGGCCGAUGGGAACAUAAAUUCCUCCAGGCGCGCCAUAAAACGGCCUCUCGAAAUGAAACGACCGUUGUAAGGUUUUUGAGAUAGUGCGACGGGGUGACGUUGUGACCGUCUGUCGGCCGAUCGUGUUGAGUUGCUAAGAUGCGCCCGCCAAUCCCUAUCAAGAGAGACCGGCGCUUAUCAACUGUAUUCCGGGAACGAAACGGCACGUUGCAACGUGUCAUGAAAAAAAAUGAAACAUCAGUUCACCGUUGUGUUAAAUCAUUCGUCUCUUCCGGCAACUGCAGCAACUGCGAUGGUACCGUCAAGCGACGGAAACGAUGACAUUGUCCUGGGACAAAAUCCGACAUCCAGCGUGGUUCGUGUAGCCGUCACUAUCUACGCCCGGAGCCGUAGUUGGCCAUGUUCUUGUUCUAUCUUUCGCGCUUAUCAUUAUGCAUACAAACGAGCGCACAGACACACCAACACACACGGAGUAGGGUAAAUACUAAAUAGCAGCAACAUUACCUGGAUCGUCUGAUGAUGGCGACAAAAGCCUGAAACGCUGAAAGUCGGUUUAAAGUUCCCCCGGCGGUCCGUAGGUUGUUUCGGUAUCUCGAAACGAACCAAAUUUAUUUGCUCACAAUCCACACACCUAACCACCCUGUGCCGUUUUGUCCCCUAGCAUCCCAUCCAAACGAAGCGCGAGCAACACAUUUGAAUAAGGAUAAGGUCAUCACCGUUCGUCGGCCUUUUUUUCCUGUAGACUUUCGAUGACUCGGCUGCAUGGCUUGUGGAGUUGGGGGGAGAAAGGGGCAGUGGUAGCGAAACGCAAGGUAAGGGAACAGCUGCCUGGUGGCCAUUUUAUGAUGCGUAUGCGUGCGUGCAUUCGAGAAUGUUUGAAGAUUGCUUGCUCUUCCCUAUGCGAUGGGUUUUGCUGUACUGAUAAGAACACGGAUCGCACCGUAUCAAAGCUGCCGGCAGGACGCUUUUCCCUCUUUCGGGAACACGCAGCUAGGGUUUUAUGGCACAAUGCUCUGCAGAUGAUCGUAUGUUCCUAUAAGCGUGUGUGUGUGAUUGUAUUUAAGGAAAGGCAACGCAACAACCCAAUUUGUUCUUUGUGCGUGGCGUGGAGCGAGAGAAAGGCAACAGCGCGACGCCAUGACGCAGAUUGUCUUCUUUGCCUCGGCUGAGGCUGCCGUUUGUUUACCGAAAGUAUCAUAUAGCGAUAAUACGUGCCUCGAUGCGGAAGGAAAGUACGCUAAGAUUUCGCUUUCCCGUGUUCCCUUGCCUUAGCCGGCGCCGACGACAGCUGCCUGACCGGAGCAAGAUUCAUCCCAUCGUCGUCUUCGCUGACAAAACUUCUUUGUUUCUUCGACGAAAACUGCCAACUGGAUGGGUAGGCAAGAAAUUGCGGCAAAGCUUAGUCAUCAUUCGUACGAUCGAACCGUAUGUGUGUGUGUAUGUGCUAUACUCACAACGGUGGCCAAUAUGGCUGGUUGUCAGCCCAUAAUGGUUUCGGUAUGAAAUCUGGCACGGAUCCUUGGGUUCGUCCGCUUCCGGAUAAAACUUUUGCCACGCCAGCCAUUUUGUACGUACGGCUUGAUGCUGAGUCAAACCUAUCUUGGGUUUGCUGACGAAAGGCGGCCGACCGGGCGGUUGCAGUUACCCUCCCAGUACGGAGGAUACGCAAGAAGUUCUUCGACAAGAUUGAAGCGUAUCACUUACGCGUUUGCCAAGUGAUGGAUUAAAUGUGCAAAGCUUUGGUAAGCGUUGUUUGUGGCGCUCACGGGUAAAUGAAGGUAAACACAUGUAUGACCGAUCGAGCCUAAGGGAUGAUAAGAAGGGCGAAAUAAUGCUCAUCCCGCAUGGAGCCACAACGAGGCGCAAAGCUUUCCGUAAGAAAUGAUUCGAAUGGGCGAUUUACAUCAGACAAUGAGACUGAGAGAGUAAAAUAGUCUAUUAUUAAUUUUUGAUUUGGACAUUUAUUAUGAACGUUCGAAGUCUUUCUCUAAAUUAAAGAACUCAUAUAAAUAUUUGAUAUUAGAAAAAGUUCUCAUGAAAGAGCUAGAAAUCUCAUCUGGACUGUACCUUGAUACACAAAAAUGAGUAAAUAAAGUUGUGAAAAGUUUAAAAUGAUAGCCCAAGACAUCUUGAGGAUCUCUGGAACUGCUCACUUCCAGAAAUUAAUCGAUAAAAUAAGCAAGUGUUCUAAAUUUUGAAAUUGGAUUUUAUCAAACUUCUUCUUCUUCUUGGCUUUAACGACCUUACAGGUCACGCCGGCCAUUUCUGGCUUACUAGACUUAUUUUUACCACGUAGCCGGAUAGUCAGUCCUUACUUGUUUAUCCUUGUUUAGUCCUUGUUUUAUCAAACUAUAUUAAACUUUAACUAGACAUCAAGUAGAGAAAAACGCAUCAAAUUUGUGACUAUUUUGAACAAAUUAUUUAUUUCUUCAUUUAAAAAAUUAUAAACGAAUUCCUGAUACAAAUUGCAAACAAAUACCCAACUGUCUACAUCUGAAGACGACCUAUACAUACAUUGAUUGAACGAACGUGUUUACCUUCAUAUUCAAUCCUGUGUUUUAUAGCACAUCAUUAAACGUACAUGCCCGUCAUUAUCCAUCGAUAAACUUAUCAGUUCUUUUACAAAAUCUUCAUUCAAAAUUGUCUUAUCUAAUGAAUCCCCUAAAAUUACCACAAUCAGAUAUAUCAGUGGUUGUACAUUUAUGUUAACACAAGGGUUCUCUUCUACCUUCUGCCCAUUUUGCUGUUGUUGUUUAUCUUUAGCUGUUGUUGUUUGAUUGGGUUGUAAGUGAUAAUGGGUGGGUUUAUCAAAUCAAUCGCCACCGGUGGCGUGCCGCCAGUUUUGUGACAAACAUCACAAUCGAUGUGCGUGUGUUUUUUUUUAAAUGUUAUUAAAUUAACCAACGAAAGGAAACCGACAUAAACACAGGUAGCUUUCGCUAGUGUUGUUUUCUUUUUUGUUGAUUUGAUUCGAUUCAAUGGAGGUGGUAGAGUUGUUUGGUUUGUUUUGUUUUGUAAUCGUAACUUUCUUCUUUAUCUUUGCACACAAUUCCGACACGGUGUGCCUUACUGGCACCGGGCCACUAGGGUCAUGUAUUUAAAGAUUGACUAAUUUUGAUUUCGAUUCGAUCGAUAACUGACCGGAGACGUUAACCACCGAUACGAACUCCUAUCAGUGACGGUGCGUGACGUUUUGGCGAUUUUUGUGAUUUUCUUACUACCCUCUCUAUCGAUGGGUGUUUUCUUGUUCAGUUUUGGCACGCGACAUGCGUUUUUUUGUUGUUGUUUGGGGAGAAUGGGACAAACUUUAUCUAGGCAGCUAGUAAACGUGCGUAACCAUUUACCGACGGCAUUUGAUGGUUGAUUAUGAUGUGUUUAGAUUUAUUGUUACCGAUGAUAGCUUGAUUCGAUUCGUGGAAAUGGCACAUCGUGCAGGAUAAUAUUAGAGAUGAUAUUAUCGGGGCUCCCGGACACAAACAUCAUUUUACCAUUCAAACACACUAAACCACGAUUGAUACUGG
This is a long non-coding RNA of Anopheles funestus (African malaria mosquito), 4049 nucleotides long. RefSeq lists it as uncharacterized. The transcript has 2 exons. Lineage: Eukaryota; Metazoa; Arthropoda; Insecta; Diptera; Culicidae. The record is from RefSeq and is a predicted model, not a curated record.